UCGUGCUGCAGCGAGUGCAGGAUCUGGAUCUCCCGCUCGAAAUCCCGCAGCUCCUUGGCCGAGUCCUGCUGCAGCUUCUUCACCGCCACCAGCUCGCCCGUGCUGUCCCCCAGGGGGUCGUAGCGGCACAGCUCCACGCUCCCAAAAUUACCCUGCGGGGGGAGGGCCGGGCUGGGACGAGGGAUGUGCCCCAGAGCCCCACCCCAUAUUCCCAGUGCCUGUUAUCCCUGCCAAGAUCCCGCUCUCAGGGCACAAUCCAAGCGUUUCUCAGCAAAGCAAGGAUGUUCCACGCCCCGAAUCAGGCUGUCCCGGAGCGCCACGUCCGCGGGGGACAGGUCCGACAGCAGCUCGUAGUCUGGGGGAGGGAUGCACGGCUGCUGCAGGAGGCGGGUGAGCCGGACCCAGAGGACGUGGAUGCCUGGAAACCGUGGGAUGAGGACGGAGGAGAACGGCAGGACACACGGACCGUGGGACACGGGCACUCGGAGCCGCUCACCAGGUAGUUGAGGGCAUAGGCCAACUGCUUGGCCACCAUCAGCUUCCAGCUGGUGGUCACCGAGCCCUCGCCCUGCUUCUUGCGCAGGUAGAGGUCCAGGGGGCCGUGCCGGACGAGCUCCUGCACCAUCACACCUGGGGGGGUGCAGGGGGGUCACCCGGGGCACAGCAGGGCUGGGUACUCCCUG
Pipra filicauda (Wire-tailed manakin) is the source of this 683-nucleotide long non-coding RNA. RefSeq lists it as uncharacterized. The record is from RefSeq and is a predicted model, not a curated record. NCBI's taxonomy places the organism in Eukaryota, Metazoa, Chordata, Aves, Passeriformes, Pipridae. The transcript is spliced from 3 exons.